GCCUGGAUAGCUCAGUCGGUUGGAGUGUAGUGCUGAUGAUGCCAAGGUUGAAGGUUCAGUCCCUGUAUGGGACA
Molecule: non-coding RNA, 74 nt
Organism: Podarcis lilfordi (Lilford's wall lizard)
Lineage: Eukaryota; Metazoa; Chordata; Lepidosauria; Squamata; Lacertidae
Source: the annotation of a GenBank genome assembly